AUACGUAGGGGACGAGCGUUGUCCGGAAUUACUGGGUGUAAAGGGCGUGUAGGCGGUUUAGCAAGUCAGAAGUGAAAUUCCCGGGCUUGACUUGGGCGCUGCUUCUGAAGCUGCUUUACUUGAGUGCUGGAGAGGAUAGUGGAAUUCCUAGUGUAGCGGUAAAAUGCGCAGAUAUUAGGAGGAACACCGGUGGCGAAGGCGGCUAUCUGGACAGUAACUGACGCUGAGGCGCGAAAGCACGGGGAGCAAACAGGAUUAGAUACCCUGGUAGUCCGCACAGUAAACGAUGUGCACCAGGUGGCGGGGGGUAGCCCUCGGUACCGAAGCCAACGCAUUAAGUGCACCGCCUGGGGAGUAUGCUCGCAAGGGUGAAACUCAAAUGAAUUGACGGGG
Molecule: ribosomal RNA, 393 nt
Filed under: uncultured bacterium
Lineage: Bacteria
Description: partial 16S ribosomal RNA
Rfam family: Bacterial small subunit ribosomal RNA
Source: RNAcentral